CGUUGAAACAUCGGUUCCCGUACGAAUGACGAAGUUAAGCAACGUCGAGCCUGGUCAGUACCUAGAUGGGUGACCGCUUGGGAAUACCAGUAGGUG
Non-coding RNA from Acanthosepion pharaonis, 96 nucleotides. NCBI's taxonomy places the organism in Eukaryota, Metazoa, Mollusca, Cephalopoda, Sepiida, Sepiidae. The record is from the annotation of a GenBank genome assembly.